This 253-nucleotide ribosomal RNA is filed under the name uncultured bacterium. Its description in RNAcentral is "partial 16S ribosomal RNA". It matches the Rfam family "Bacterial small subunit ribosomal RNA", at positions 524 to 776 of the family's 1533-position model. The record is from RNAcentral.
UACGAAGGGGGCUAGCGUUGCUCGGAAUGACUGGGCGUAAAGGGCGCGUAGGCGGAUGGCACAGUCAGAUGUGAAAUUCCCGGGCUUAACCUGGGGGCUGCAUUUGAUACGUGUUGUCUAGAGUGAGGAAGAGGGUUGUGGAAUUCCCAGUGUAGAGGUGAAAUUCGUAGAUAUUGGGAAGAACACCGGUGGCGAAGGCGGCAACCUGGUCCUUGACUGACGCUGAGGCGCGAAAGCGUGGGUAGCAAACAGG